This 253-nucleotide ribosomal RNA is filed under the name uncultured bacterium. RNAcentral's name for it is "partial 16S ribosomal RNA". It matches the Rfam family "Bacterial small subunit ribosomal RNA", at positions 524 to 776 of the family's 1533-position model. The record is from RNAcentral.
UACGGAGGGGGCUAGCGUUGUUCGGAAUUACUGGGCGUAAAGCGCGCGUAGGCGGACCUGCAAGUCGGGGGUGAAAGCCCGAGGCUCAACCUCGGAACUGCCUUCGAUACUGCGGGUCUCGAGUCCGGGAGAGGUGAGUGGAAUUCCUAGUGUAGAGGUGAAAUUCGUAGAUAUUAGGAAGAACACCAGUGGCGAAGGUGGCUCACUGGCCCGGUAUUGACGUUGAGGCGGGAAAGCGUGGGGAGCAAACAGG